GAUGAACGCUGGCGGCGUGCUUAACACAUGCAAGUCGAACGGACUUUACAUGAAGCCUAGCGAAUGUAAAGUUAGUGGCGGACGGGUGAGUAACGCGUGAAUAACCUGCCUUAUACUGGGGGACAACAGUUGGAAACGACUGCUAAUACCGCAUAAGCGCACGGAGCUGCAUGGCUCGGUGUGAAAAACUCCGGUGGUAUAAGAUGGAUUCGCGUCUGAUUAGCUAGUUGAUGAGGUAACGGCCCACCAAGGCGACGAUCAGUAGCCGGCCUGAGAGGGUGAACGGCCACAUUGGGACUGAGACACGGCCCAAAACUCCUACGGGAGGCAGCAGUGGGGAAUAUUGCACAAUGGGGGAAACCCUGAUGCAGCGACGCCGCGUGAGUGAAGAAGUAUUUCGGUAUGUAAACUUCUUUUACCAGGGACGAAGAACGUGACGGUACCUGGAGAAAAAGCCACGGCUAACUACGUG
RNAcentral lists this ribosomal RNA (472 nucleotides) under uncultured bacterium. RNAcentral's name for it is "bacterial SSU rRNA". It matches the Rfam family "Bacterial small subunit ribosomal RNA", at positions 28 to 507 of the family's 1533-position model. The record is from RNAcentral.